AUUGAACGCUGGCGGCAUGCUUUACACAUGCAAGUCGAACGGUAACAGGCCGCAAGGUGCUGACGAGUGGCGUACGGGUGAGUAAUGCAUCGGAACGUGCCCAGUCGUGGGGGGUAACUACUCGUAAGAGUAGCUAAUACCGCAUACGAUCUAUGGAUGAGAGCGGGGGACCGUACGGCCUCGCGCGAUUGGAUCGGCCGAUGUCAGAUUAGGUAGUUGGCGGGGUAUAGGCUCACCAAGCCAACGAUCUGUAGCUCGUCUGAGAGGACGACCAGCCACACUGGGACUGAGAAACGGCCGCGACUCCUGCGGGAGGCAGCAGUGGGGAAUUUUGGACAAUGGGGGCAAGCCUGAUCCAGCAAUGCCGCGUGCAGGAAGAAGGCCUUCGGGUUGGAAACUGCUUUUGUACGGAACGAAACGGCUCUGGUUAAUACCCGGAGCUAAUGACGGUACCGUAAGAAUAAGCACCGGCUAACUACGUG
Molecule: ribosomal RNA, 482 nt
Filed under: uncultured bacterium
Lineage: Bacteria
Description: partial 16S ribosomal RNA
Rfam family: Bacterial small subunit ribosomal RNA
Source: RNAcentral